This 612-nucleotide unclassified non-coding RNA is filed under the name Hevea brasiliensis (rubber tree). The record is from RNAcentral. Lineage: Eukaryota; Viridiplantae; Streptophyta; Magnoliopsida; Malpighiales; Euphorbiaceae.
GGGCAUCUGGCAUUAUUAUCACCAGGAAUUCUUGGAUUUAAGGGCUUAAGGACUAUGUUAUAAAUGUAAACAACCUUAUCACCCUAUAAACAAGUGCCCUAAGACACACCAAGCAAUCAUCGUUAGGGAGGAUGAAGAGGUACCCCCAUACAUUAAAGGGGAAUCUAUCAAUAUUCCACCAUCAAGCGGCAUUCUUUCCAAUGUUCAUGAAGGCCAUUUCACCCAAUUGGACCUCCCUCUUUAUUUUAUUACAGGGAUUUCCAGACCUUGCAUUGUGAAAUUCCAUGGAAUGUUGAAUGGGAGAUGGUUGGCUGUAAUGAUGGAUAGUGGCGCUAGCCACAAUUUCAUUGGGUUUUUUCUUCAAGUAUUAUAGUAUCGCAGCCCGUGGUACAAACUGUGAGGGUGUAGAAGAAGGGCCCAAGACCUGACGUCCGGGGGCACGGCAAUGACUGAUCCCACAUCGAAAUGGGAGACAGAGUUAGUAGUGCUUGUAUUGGGAAGUCUUGAUCAACUGAGUAGCGCUCUUUUGUGUGUGAAAAGCCCAAGGGACAAAUCUGUAAGGCUUAUGGGGGCCAAAGUGGAUAAUACUAUCCAGUAGGUCGAGCCUUACAG